Molecule: ribosomal RNA, 205 nt
Filed under: uncultured bacterium
Lineage: Bacteria
Description: partial 16S ribosomal RNA
Rfam family: Bacterial small subunit ribosomal RNA
Source: RNAcentral
UGCGCAGGCGGUUUUGUAAGACAGAGGUGAAAUCCCCGGGCUCAACCUGGGAACUGCCUUUGUGACUGCAAAGCUGGAGUGCGGCAGAGGGGGAUGGAAUUCCGCGUGUAGCAGUGAAAUGCGUAGAUAUGCGGAGGAACACCGAUGGCGAAGGCAAUCCCCUGGGCCUGCACUGACGCUCAUGCACGAAAGCUGGGAGCAAACA